GAUGAACGCUGGCGGCGUGCCUAAUACAUGCAAGUCGAGCGAACGGAGGAGAAGCUUGCUUUUCUGAUGUUAGCGGCGGACGGGUGAGUAACACGUGGAUAACCUACCUAUAAGACUGGGAUAACUUCUGGAAACCGGAGCUAAUACCGGAUAAUAUUUUGUACCGCAUGGUUCAAAAGUGAAAGACGGUCUUGCUGUCACUUAUAGAUGGAUCCGCGCUGCAUUAGCUAGUUGGUAAGGUAACGGCUUACCAAGGCAACGAUGCAUAGCCGACCUGAGAGGGUGGUAGGCCAAACUGGAGCUGAGACACGGUCCAGACUCCUACGGGAGGCAGCAGUAGGGAAGCUUCCGAAAUGGGCGAAAGCCUGACGGAGCAAAGCAGCGUGAGUGAGGAAGGUAUUCGGAUCGUAAAACUCUGUUAUUAGGGAAGAACAUAUGUGUAAGUAACUGUGCACAUCUUGACGGUACCAAAUCAAAAAGCCACGGCUAACUACGUG
This 497-nucleotide ribosomal RNA is filed under the name uncultured bacterium. Its description in RNAcentral is "partial 16S ribosomal RNA". It matches the Rfam family "Bacterial small subunit ribosomal RNA", at positions 28 to 507 of the family's 1533-position model. The record is from RNAcentral.